RNAcentral lists this ribosomal RNA (420 nucleotides) under uncultured bacterium. RNAcentral's name for it is "bacterial SSU rRNA". It matches the Rfam family "Bacterial small subunit ribosomal RNA", at positions 917 to 1341 of the family's 1533-position model. The record is from RNAcentral.
GGGCCCGCACAAGCGGUGGAGCAUGUGGUUUAAUUCGAUGAUACGCGAGGAACCUUACCAGGGCUUAAAUGCAGAGCGACAGAGGUGGAAACACCUCCUUCUUCGGACGGUCUGCAAGGUGCUGCAUGGUUGUCGUCAGCUCGUGCUGUGAAGUGUCGGGUUAAGUCCCAUAACGAGCGCAACCCCUAUUUCUAGUUGCCAGCGGUUCGGCCGGGGACUCUAGAGAAACUGCCAGCGUAAGCUGUGAGGAAGGUGGGGAUGACGUCAAAUCAUCACGGCCCUUACGUCCUGGGCUACACACGUGCUACAAUGGUAGGGACAGAGAGUUGCCAACCCGCGAGGGUGAGCUAAUCUUCAAACCCUAUCUCAGUUCGGAUUGUCGUCUGCAACUCGACGGCAUGAAGUCGGAAUCGCUAGUAA